Molecule: ribosomal RNA, 466 nt
Filed under: uncultured bacterium
Lineage: Bacteria
Description: partial 16S ribosomal RNA
Rfam family: Bacterial small subunit ribosomal RNA
Source: RNAcentral
GACGAACGCUGGCGGCGCGCCUAACACAUGCAAGUCGAACGAGCGAGAGAGAGCUUGCUUUCUCGAGCGAGUGGCGAACGGGUGAGUAACGCGUGAGGAACCUGCCUCAAAGAGGGGGACAACAGUUGGAAACGACUGCUAAUACCGCAUAAGCCCACGACCCGGCAUCGGGUAGAGGGAAAAGGAGCAAUCCGCUUUGAGAUGGCCUCGCGUCCGAUUAGCUAGUUGGUGAGGUAACGGCCCACCAAGGCGACGAACGGUAGCCGGACUGAGAGGUUGAACGGCCACAUUGGGACUGAGACACGGCCCAGACUCCUACGGGAGGCAGCAGUGGGGAAUAUUGCACAAUGGGGGAAACCCUGAUGCAGCGACGCCGCGUGGAGGAAGAAGGUCUUCGGAUUGUAAACUCCUGUUGUUGAGGAAGAUAAUGACGGUACUCAACAAGGAAGUGACGGCUAACUACGUG